UUUUAUGGAGAGUUUGAUCCUGGCUCAGGAUGAACGCUGGCGGCGUGCCUAAUACAUGCAAGUCGAGCGAACGGACGAGAAGCUUGCUUCUCUGAUGUUAGCGGCGGACGGGUGAGUAACACGUGGAUAACCUACCUAUAAGACUGGGAUAACUUCGGGAAACCGGAGCUAAUACCGGAUAAUAUUUUGAACCGCAUGGUUCAAAAGUAAAAGACGGUCUUGCUGUCACUUAUAGAUGGAUCCGCGCUGCAUUAGCUAGUUGGUAAGGUAACGGCUUACCAAGGCAACGAUGCAUAGCCGACCUGAGAGGGUGAUCGGCCACACUGGAACUGAGACACGGUCCAGACUCCUACGGGAGGCAGCAGUAGGGAAUCUUCCGCAAUGGGCGAAAGCCUGACGGAGCAACGCCGCGUGAGUGAUGAAGGUCUUCGGAUCGUAAAACUCUGUUAUUAGGGAAGAACAUAUGUGUAAGUAACUGUGCACAUCUUGACGGUAC
Molecule: ribosomal RNA, 496 nt
Filed under: Staphylococcus aureus
Lineage: Bacteria; Bacillati; Bacillota; Bacilli; Caryophanales; Staphylococcaceae
Description: bacterial SSU rRNA
Rfam family: Bacterial small subunit ribosomal RNA
Source: RNAcentral